RNAcentral lists this ribosomal RNA (741 nucleotides) under uncultured fungus. Its description in RNAcentral is "eukaryotic LSU rRNA". It matches the Rfam family "Eukaryotic large subunit ribosomal RNA", at positions 24 to 664 of the family's 3401-position model. The record is from RNAcentral. Lineage: Eukaryota; Fungi.
CCCGCUGAACUUAAGCAUAUCAAUAAGCGGAGGAAAAGAAACUAACAAGGAUUCCCCUAGUAACGGCGAGUGAAGCGGGAAAAGCUCAAAUUUAAAAUCUGGCAGGUUAUCCUGUCCGAGUUGUAGUUUCAAGAAGCGUUUUCGGUGCGCGUCUGGGUAUAAGUUCUUUGGAACAGGACAUCAUAGAGGGUGAGAAUCCCGUUUAUGACCUGGAACAGCGUUCUAUGUGAUACGUUUUCUAAGAGUCAGGUUGUUUGGGAAUGCAGCCUAAAAUGGGUGGUAAAUUUCAUCUAAAGCCAAAUAUUGGCGAGAGACCGAUAGCGAACAAGUACCGUGAGGGAAAGAUGAAAAGAACUUUGAAAAGAGAGUUAAACAGUACGUGAAAUUGUUGAAAGGGAAACGUUUGAAAUUAGUCGUGCGGGCGGGUAAUCAGCUUGGCCUUUGGGUCUUGUGCACUUACUCGUAUCGCAGGCCAGCGUCGGUUUUGUUUGCCGGAUAAAUGCCAAUGGAAUGUAGCUCAACCUUUUACGAGGAGGGGUGUUAUAGCCCUGGUAAAUACGGCGGUCGAGACCGAGGUCUGCAGUUGAUGCCUCUCGGGGCUGGGGACUCCAUCGCUCAUUCGCACCCGCGCCUAGACAGCUUGCUGACUAGGUGUGUGGUCUGUGGGUGACACGGUGGCCUACCACACAUCGACUUGGGUCGCUGGCGUAAUGGUUUUAAAUGACCCGUCUUGAAACACGG